Molecule: long non-coding RNA, 246 nt
Filed under: Lathyrus oleraceus (garden pea)
Lineage: Eukaryota; Viridiplantae; Streptophyta; Magnoliopsida; Fabales; Fabaceae
Description: Pisum sativum (pea) long non-coding RNA (PSAT_LNC032201)
Source: RNAcentral
AGGAGAUGAGCGAUUGAGAGACGACGAGAGAUUAAGAGUUGGAAAGGUGUUUGCUUUAGGAGAGAUUGAGAGAGGAAGAGGUCUGUCUUCGUGAGGAAGACGAACGAAUCCUUUGGAUUUGUUUCAUGUUUCCAGUUCAUUUUCUUUUUAUUUAUUUUAAGAGCAUUUAAAAUCUCUUUAAGAAAUUAAAUGACCGUUUAGUUUUUUUUUGCAAUUUUCCAUUAACUAUUGUCUGUUGGAGUUAAU